Molecule: long non-coding RNA, 1703 nt
Organism: Amaranthus tricolor (Joseph's coat)
Lineage: Eukaryota; Viridiplantae; Streptophyta; Magnoliopsida; Caryophyllales; Amaranthaceae
Exons: 3
Source: RefSeq, a predicted model, not a curated record
AAAUCAGAUUUCUACCUUGUGUCGCGCCGUGCCGCCUUCCAUUCCAGUCUCUUCCUUCUUCUUCCUCUGAUUCGCCAUUGAUACUCCUUACCCGCAUUUCUUCCUCACCUUGUUCUUCAAUCUCAUUUCUACCUCAGAUUUCUACAACUGAAAAUGGAUCUUGUUCUUGAAUCUCCUUUCGGUUAUCUUAAAAAUUUAUCUUCUAUAAUUAGUCAAAAUUGAAGAAUCUCAUUUCUACCUCAGUUUUCUACAAUUGAAAAUGGAUCUUGUUCUUCAAUCUCUUUUCGGUUAUCUUAAAUCUAUCUAGAAUCAAAGUUGAAGAGUUUAAUGUAAUUUUUUUUUUCAUUCAGGAUCAAUCAAUUUGAUUUGAGAUGAAGAGUUGUGCAGCCGGUUGAAGAUGUGAACUUUUAGCCUUUUAGAAACUUUCAGUUGAUCAUUGAAAUCAAAAUUAGACAGAAACUGUGGAACAAUGCCAUUUAAUUGAAAUCAAUUUGUACCAAACAAUGGCCAAAUAUAAUUGUAAAAAGGUAAUGCAUUAACUUUGGAGCAUCCGGAAGUCAUAAUCGAUGAAACUCUUGACACCGUUGAAGAUGAGUAAUGGAGCCUGAAGUUUGAACUUAUAAAUUUUAAUAGUUUAUGAAAUUAUGAAUUUGAGGAAUUGUGGUUGUAUUUUAAUUAACUAAUGCUUGUAUUUAAAUACUUAUGGCUAAGUUAAGUAUUUUAAUAUUAUUUGAAUUAUAUGUUUAAAAAAUUGUUAAAAGAAUUAAGAAAAAAAAAUAAACAAAACCGGGUACCCGGUUUUCGACCCGGUUUAAACCGGGUCGGAUCCGGAAUACAAUUUUAGCUAUCCGGAAAACCGGGUACCCGGUUUUUCGGAACCGGGUCGACCCGGUAUUCGGUUUUGAACACCCCUAUCUAGAACCCACCAAAACCAAAUACCAGUUUCCAAAAUUUAGGAUGGUUCUAAUUUAAAGUCAUCACCAAUUUCAAAGAUGUGUGACGGUUCCAAUAAAAAGUCAGCAAACUUUGUCCCAUCAUCUCUUAGGCUUGGGCUUUUUUGUAAACCUUCGGAUAAAGUGGAUUUUUGACUGUGGGGCUACCGACACUAUGACAUUUGACCCAUGUGACCUUUUAUCUUUCGGCCCUAAAAACCGAACCCAAUACAAACAACCAAUGGGGAGUGUAUAGAUGUUGAACAAUCAAGGCCUAUUCAAAUUUCUUCUUCCUUACACUUGAAAAAUUGUCUUUUUAUACCUAGCUUGUCGCAUAAAUUGUUGUCUAUUAGUCAAUUGACUAAGGAACUGAAUUGCACUAUUCUUAUGACCUCUUCUAAUUGUAUUGUGCAGGAUGCUCGAACAAGGAAGAUUCUUGGGCAUGGUACUGAACGAGGUGGUAUAUAUUAUGUGGACGAGGUGACUCAAAAGGGUCAGACUUUGCUUGGUCAUGGGUCCUCAAAUUAGCAUUUGUGGAUGUGGUAUAGGCAUCUUGGCCACCCUUCCUUAGGGUAUUUGAAACGUCUCAUUCCAUCACUUAAUAAUUGUAAUGAAAAUUUGCAGUGUAAAGCAUGUGCUCUAUCUAAAAGUCAAAAAAACUUUUUUCUUCCUAGUAUGACUCAUAGUAGUAAACCUUUUGUUUUGAUACAUUCUGAUGUUUGGGGACCUGCUCCUGGAUUUAAUAAUCAUAGUUUCUCUUAUUUUGUUUCA